Molecule: non-coding RNA, 45 nt
Filed under: Echinostoma caproni
Lineage: Eukaryota; Metazoa; Platyhelminthes; Trematoda; Plagiorchiida; Echinostomatidae
Source: RNAcentral
GCACUGCUGACGACUCCGAAACAGGACGAAACAGCUGUUCAGUGC